CGACAUAUAAGGUAGGAAAUGUGUCCAUUGUUUCCAUUGUAGCGUUACCUCGGUACUGAGCAAAAAUGAAAUACGUCUUCGUUACCCUCUUCGUCUUGGCGCUCUUCUAUCAUGCGGCCGCACAACAGCCCUGUAGGUUCUAUGGCAGAGGCCAACAAUGCGACUGCGGGCCACUUGCUGCGGUGUUCUGGAUUGGAUCGACCCAAAUUUGCGAGUUCAAAUGCAGAGAUCAGUAUGGCAGAAUGUUUUCAUGCGAACAAGUGAGAAUGCUUUAGAUACCCAUCGAUUGUCAUAAGCAUACACCUUCAAAGGCUGGUUUCAACCCUGUAUGGAAUUUUUUAAUUGUAGGAAAUGUUUCCAGAAAAGAAAGCCUUUCUGAUCGUCUUUCCUGGAGUUAAAACGCUCUCCUGGAAAUGAAAGUAAUUUCUUGCUUCUUACUAUUUCUCACAUUUUCGGUCAACUCUUUGAAUCCAAAGUCUUUAAUAAAGUUUUCUACAAAACCA
This is a long non-coding RNA of Photinus pyralis (common eastern firefly), 503 nucleotides long. RefSeq lists it as uncharacterized. NCBI's taxonomy places the organism in Eukaryota, Metazoa, Arthropoda, Insecta, Coleoptera, Lampyridae. The record is from RefSeq and is a predicted model, not a curated record. The transcript has 3 exons.